AUUCUUUCAGCGGCAAAUAGGGUCCAGUUGUAUCAAACCCCGAGUUUCGGGGUUUUUUGUUAUUUGAAAAGAAUGACUGGGCUAUAAGGCCCUUUUUUU
Candidatus Regiella insecticola 5.15 is the source of this 99-nucleotide regulatory RNA element. It matches the Rfam family "Gammaprotebacteria rimP leader". The record is from Rfam. Lineage: Bacteria; Pseudomonadati; Pseudomonadota; Gammaproteobacteria; Enterobacterales; Enterobacteriaceae.